Molecule: long non-coding RNA, 450 nt
Filed under: Androctonus crassicauda
Lineage: Eukaryota; Metazoa; Arthropoda; Arachnida; Scorpiones; Buthidae
Source: RNAcentral
AUACGCCCGAUUUGUUCUUGUCGUCUAGGUGGUCUUUGUCGUUCCUUGGGUAUGGGAGGACUGUGGGGCCUCUUUUGGGAGCUGGUUUUGUUUGUGAUGCUUUCGCUGUUUUCUCUACAACGGGCAUCUUGGUUGGGUGGAGCGGUAGGGCAGCAUGUUUUUCGUUAUCUUUUUCUUCUGGGGUCUCAUGUGCUGCCAGAUUGUCUCUGUUUGGUUGUGCUGGUUGCUUCAUUAUGUUUUUAACAUUGCGUCUUGUCGACUGGAUGGGUCCUUUGGUGUAUCCGUGUUUGGUCCCUGUGGUAAUUAUGUGGUUUGUCUCCUCAAGAUGGUCUUCUUCAUUCGUGCAGUAUUGGUGCGCUCUUUUAAAAAAUGAUCUGGGAGCGGCUUUUUUGUGUCUGAUGGGGUCGUUCGACCGGUUGGGGAUGGUGGCCGGGUGGUGGGUGGGCUUUC